RNAcentral lists this microRNA precursor (93 nucleotides) under Nannospalax galili (Upper Galilee mountains blind mole rat). RNAcentral describes it as "miRNA (ENSNGAG00000005643.1)". Lineage: Eukaryota; Metazoa; Chordata; Mammalia; Rodentia; Spalacidae. The record is from RNAcentral.
AGAAGCAGGCAGAUCUCUGUGAGUUCGAGGCCAGCCUGUUCUACCUAGUGAGUUCUAGGACAGCGGGGCUACAGGGAGACCCUGUCCCAAAAG